UCCCUCGUGAGAGGGCAGUCUCGCCUGACUUGUAAAACAGGCAACGCGGGUUGCGUUCGUUACCCCACUGAAGGGAACAACUCAAGCCACGAACUGACGACGACCAUGCAUCACCUGCCCAGCCGUCUUGCGAGGUCCAAAGUUUCCUAAGGAUUUCGUCUGGGUUUCAAACCCUGGUGAGGUUCUUCGUUUGUCAUCGAAUUGAGCCGCAUGAUCCACCGCUUGUGCAAGUCCCCGUCUAUUCCUUUGAGUUUUAGCCUUGCGGCCGUACUACCCAGGCGCACAACUUAACGCGUUAGCUUCGCCUCAGAGAGGGUCGAUACUCCCUAAAGCCAGUUGUGAUCGUUUAGGGCGUGGACUAC
This 362-nucleotide unclassified non-coding RNA is filed under the name uncultured bacterium. RNAcentral's name for it is "contains 16S-23S intergenic spacer region". The record is from RNAcentral.